UCGGGAAUUUUGGGCAAUGGGCGAAAGCCUGACCCAGCAACGCCGCGUGAAGGAUGAAAUCCCUCGGGAUGUAAACUUCGCAAGAACGGGAAGAAUAAGUUGGUGCGAACAUCACCAGUGAUGACGGUACCGUUUGUAAGCUCCGGCUAACUCCGUGCCAGCAGCCGCGGUAAUACGGGGGGAGCAAGCGUUGUUCGGAUUUACUGGGCGUAAAGGGCGCGUAGGCGGCCACCGGAAGUCGGUUGUGAAAUCUCCGGGCUUAACCCGGAAAGGUCAACCGAUACUGCGGGGCUAGAGUGCAGAAGGGGCAACUGGAAUUCUCGGUGUAGCGGUGAAAUGCGUAGAUAUCGAGAGGAACACCUGCGGCGAAGGCGGGUUGCUGGGCUGACACUGACGCUGAUGCGCGAAAGCUAGGGGAGCAAAC
RNAcentral lists this ribosomal RNA (424 nucleotides) under uncultured bacterium. RNAcentral describes it as "bacterial SSU rRNA". It matches the Rfam family "Bacterial small subunit ribosomal RNA", at positions 355 to 773 of the family's 1533-position model. The record is from RNAcentral.